GGCUUCUUCAUGACUCACUCACAUGGCUGGUAUGAAGGUCUCAUCCCUUGCAACUUGGAUUUCUCCAUGUGGCUGCUCAAGUUUCCUCCCAAGAAGUUUCCUCCCCAGAGUGAGUGCCGCAAGACAGCAAGACUGAAGCCCCAAGGCCUUUUAUGACCCAGCCCUGGAUGGCAAUAUGCAUAUGUUGGCUUGCUGCCAUUCAGUGGACACAAGUGACCUGAGCGGAGCUGUUAACCUGUGUUGGGAAGAGAAGAGGAAGAGGCCAGGAAUCCCCGGGCCUCAUCCAGCUCGAGUAACAAGAGCAGGGGUAGCACAGCCCCGCUGUCGGGGCCUCAGUCUUGACCAGGUCAGGGCAUCGUGCCCUGCGUGCCCCGAGCUCUCAAGCAGCCUGCUCCACCUUUAUCUCUAGGUCAGCUCACUCGUUUCUACGAAGUGCAUGAGGUGUGUAAUAUUUGGGUCAUGCAGCUCCAUCCACGAAGGCAGCUCUCUUCUGGAAGUUCUGAGACACGGUUGGUGACGGUGAGCCUUGUGGGGGCGAUGAGCGCAGAGUGAACUCAGGAUGGACAGAUGCCAGCGAUGAGCAAAUAAUAAAUAGAUGAAAUACUCA
This is a long non-coding RNA of Marmota flaviventris (yellow-bellied marmot), 607 nucleotides long. RefSeq lists it as uncharacterized. NCBI's taxonomy places the organism in Eukaryota, Metazoa, Chordata, Mammalia, Rodentia, Sciuridae. The record is from RefSeq and is a predicted model, not a curated record.